AAAUUUUUGGCAGUUUUCUACACCAUGUAGUGAGCUUGGGUCACCAAGGGCCUGUAAAUAGCAUCAUAAUGAUUGGUUCCCCAGCAGGGAUAAACAUGUGCUUUGAGUUUUCUAAAUGAUUCAGAGGCAUGCUGUGAGAUAACUACUGAUAACAAGCAGAUGUGAAGUUUGCUUUUCAAGACAGGGAGGCAGAGGGGGAAAGUCAAGUAGAUUGUUGGCUUAUGGUCCUCUUGGAAAGCCUGAUAUUUGAAGAUUAUUAAAGCUCGGAACUCAGUCAUUCCCAAUGAAGAGAUGGAGACUCAAACGCAAAGAGUGGAGAUGUAGCAGAGGAAUGUGGGAAAUGCAGAAGAGUCAGAUGGAGGAAGAGGAGGUAGCAGCAGCUGCAGGGCUCUGCUGGAGGAGGUCAGAAAACAAUGUAAAGAAUCUGGUGUUAAAGGGACUUUAAUCAUGGAGUCAAGAGGUGGCCAACUUAGGGUCCAAAAGUUUAGAAGAAGGAAUGUGGAGAAAGCUCACUGCAGAAACUUCUGAAGAAAGAACGGGGUCCCCAGUGGUAUUUAUGGAAGCACUCCCUUGACAUGGAAGCAGUAAGAGCUAAAGAAAGAUUUGGUCCUGAGAAAAGAAAAGCUGAUUUUGAGCAUUAUUUUUUGUUCUGGAUUAGUGAGCCUUCUUUGCUUUUCAAGUCCUACUAGAUAUUCCAGAAGAUAAUCUCAAAACAUAUAACCAGAGCUCUGGGACAAGGCCUCUACAGCUGACUUCAAAAAGAAGUACCUUAAAUACUUCAGGUGCUGUUCAGUUUUCACUUGUACCAAUUUAGAUCUGGAGUUAGAACAUUGGAGUGAUUAUGGAUUUGCAUUGAUGUGAAAGGGUUGAGAAUUUGGUUCAGAAGAAUCAGUUUGCUAAAAAAGCAGCAAAUCCUAUGGAAAACCUGUGAUUAUUGCUUUGUUUGAUGCAUCUCUGCUGUAGAGUGGCCAGAUGUUUUAAAAUCUACCUGCUGAGGAUCUGGUUUUGCUCCUGUGCUAUUUGGAGAGGACAGGGGGACAGUCUGUAUUUCAAGGUCAAAGAUGUAAUUAAAUAAAAAUACACUUAAAAUUCCUCUAACAAAUGUGUCAGGAUUCUGUAGAUUAGUCGAUGUACAUAUUUUAGGGCUGAAGAUGCUAAAAGCUAA
This is a long non-coding RNA of Lagopus muta (rock ptarmigan), 1165 nucleotides long. RefSeq lists it as uncharacterized. The record is from RefSeq and is a predicted model, not a curated record. The transcript has 3 exons. NCBI's taxonomy places the organism in Eukaryota, Metazoa, Chordata, Aves, Galliformes, Phasianidae.